Molecule: ribosomal RNA, 109 nt
Filed under: uncultured Campylobacter sp.
Lineage: Bacteria; Pseudomonadati; Campylobacterota; Epsilonproteobacteria; Campylobacterales; Campylobacteraceae
Description: partial 16S ribosomal RNA
Rfam family: Bacterial small subunit ribosomal RNA
Source: RNAcentral
CACGUGCUACAAUGGCAUAUACAAUGAGACGCAUUACCGCGAGGUGGAGCAAAUCUAUAAAAUAUGUCCCAGUUCGGAUUGUUCUCUGCAACUCGAGAGCAUGAAGCCA